Molecule: microRNA precursor, 96 nt
Filed under: Setaria italica (foxtail millet)
Lineage: Eukaryota; Viridiplantae; Streptophyta; Magnoliopsida; Poales; Poaceae
Source: RNAcentral
UUAGCCAAGAAUGGCUUGCCUAUCUCUACUAUUUGGUUCAUCAGGGAGUCCUUAUGAUGGAUGAAAUGUGGAUGAUGGCAGCCAUUCUUGCUAAGU